UUCCCUUAAAGUUUGAUCAUGGCUCAAAAAGAACGUUGGCGGCGUGGAUUAGGCAUGCAAGUCGAGCGAGAACCCGCAGGGGGGACAGCGGCGAACGGGGUAGGAAUACGUAGGUAACGUACCCUCGGGGCGAGGACAGCCACGGGAAACUGUGGGUAAUACUCGAUAAACUUCCCAAUCAUUAUGGAAGGGGAAGCAAUGGGUGUGAUUCCACCUGAGGAGCGGCUUACGCAGUAUCAGCUAGUUGGUGAGGUAACGGCUCACCAAGGCUACGACGCUUAGGGGGUGUGAGAGCAUGGCCCCCACCACUGGCACUGAGACACUGGCCAGACACCUACGGGUGGCUGCAGUCAAGAAUCUUCGGCAAUGGACGCAAGUCUGACCGAGCGACGCCGCGUGUGGGAUGAAGGCCUUCGGGUUGUAAACCACUGUCAGAGGGGAUGAAGUAUACGAGAGUUAUCUCUUGUAUUUGACAGAGCCUCAGAGGAAGCACGGGCUAAGUUCGUGCCAGCAGCCGCGGUAAUACGAACUGUGCGAACGUUAUUCGGAAUCACUGGGCUUAGAGGGUGCGUAGGCGGUUAUCUAAGUCAGGUGUGAAAUCUCUCGGCUCAACCGGGAAACUGCGCUUGAAACUGGAUGACUGGAGGGAUGCAGGGGGUGUGUGGAACUUCCGGGUGGAGCGGUGAAAUGUGUAUAUAUCGGGAAGGAACGCCAGCAGCGAAAGCGGCACACUGGGCAUCUACUGACGCUGAGGCACGAAAGCUAGGGGGAGUGAACGGUAUUAGAUACCCCGGUAAUCCUAGCCAGUAACACUGAACACUGAGAGAGGACGCCUUCUGUCCUUUCUUUCCCGUACGAAAGUCGUUAAGUCGCUCCGCCUGGGAGGGAGUAUGGGUCGCAAGGCUGAAACUUCAAAGGGUAUCGACGCGUACUCACUAGCGAUGCAAGCAUGUGACUUACUUGCGGAGGCCCAACGCCCGGAGCGC
Molecule: ribosomal RNA, 986 nt
Filed under: uncultured bacterium
Lineage: Bacteria
Description: bacterial SSU rRNA
Rfam family: Bacterial small subunit ribosomal RNA
Source: RNAcentral